AGGGUUUGAUCCUGGCUCAGGACGAACGCUGGCGGCGUGCUUAACACAUGCAAGUCGAACGGUGAAGCCUUUCGGGGUGGAUCAGUGGCGAACGGGUGGGUAACACGUGGGCAAUCUGCCCUGCACUCUGGGACAAGCCCUGGAAACGGGGUCUAAUACCGGAUAUGACUGUCUGCCGCAUGGUGGAUGGUGGAAAGCUCCGGCGGUGCAGGAUGAGCCCGCGGCCUAUCAGCUUGUUGGUGGGGUGAUGGCCUACCAAGGCGACGACGGGUAGCCGGCCUGAGAGGGCGACCGGCCACACUGGGACUGAGACACGGCCCAGACUCCUACGGGAGGCAGCAGUGGGGAAUAUUGCACAAUGGGCGCAAGCCUGAUGCAGCGACGCCGCGUGAGGGAUGACGGCCUUCGGGUUGUAAACCUCUUUCAGCAGGGAGGAAGCGUGAGUGACGGUACCUGCAGAAGAAGCACCGGCUAACUACGUGCCAGCAGCCGCGGUAAUACGUAGGGUGCGAGCGUUGUCCGGAAUUAUUGGGCGUAAAGAGCUCGUAGGCGGCUUGUCGUGUCGGAUGUGAAAGCCCGGGGCUUAACUCCGGGUCUGCAUUCGAUACGGGCAGGCUAGAGUUCGGUAGGGGAGAUCGGAAUUCCUGGUGUAGCGGUGAAAUGCGCAGAUAUCAGGAGGAACACCGGUGGCGAAGGCGGAUCUCUGGGCCGAUACUGACGCUGAGGAGCGAAAGCGUGGGGAGCGAACAGGAUUAGAUACCCUGGUAGUCCACGCCGUAAACGUUGGGAACUAGGUGUGGGUGACAUUCCACGUUGUCCGUGCCGCAGCUAACGCAUUAAGUUCCCCGCCUGGGGAGUACGGCCGCAAGG
This 870-nucleotide ribosomal RNA is filed under the name uncultured Actinobacteridae bacterium. RNAcentral's name for it is "bacterial SSU rRNA". It matches the Rfam family "Bacterial small subunit ribosomal RNA", at positions 8 to 893 of the family's 1533-position model. The record is from RNAcentral. Lineage: Bacteria; Bacillati; Actinomycetota; Actinomycetes.